RNAcentral lists this ribosomal RNA (464 nucleotides) under uncultured Bacillota bacterium. RNAcentral's name for it is "bacterial SSU rRNA". It matches the Rfam family "Bacterial small subunit ribosomal RNA", at positions 19 to 494 of the family's 1533-position model. The record is from RNAcentral. Lineage: Bacteria; Bacillati; Bacillota.
UUGGCUCAGGACGAACGCUGGCGGCGUGCUUAACACAUGCAAGUCGAACGGAAAGGCCCUGCUUUUGUGGGGUGCUCGAGUGGCGAACGGGUGAGUAACACGUGAGUAACCUGCCCUUGACUUUGGGAUAACUUCAGGAAACUGGGGCUAAUACCGGAUAGGAGCUCCUGCUGCAUGGUGGGGGUUGGAAAGUUUCGGCGGUUGGGGAUGGACUCGCGGCUUAUCAGCUUGUUGGUGGGGUAGUGGCUUACCAAGGCUUUGACGGGUAGCCGGCCUGAGAGGGUGACCGGCCACAUUGGGACUGAGAUACGGCCCAGACUCCUACGGGAGGCAGCAGUGGGGAAUAUUGCACAAUGGGCGGAAGCCUGAUGCAGCAACGCCGCGUGCGGGAUGACGGCCUUCGGGUUGUAAACCGCUUUCGCCUGUGACGAAGCGUGAGUGACGGUAAUGGGUAAAGAAGCACC